Phlebotomus papatasi is the source of this 1523-nucleotide long non-coding RNA. RefSeq lists it as uncharacterized. Lineage: Eukaryota; Metazoa; Arthropoda; Insecta; Diptera; Psychodidae. The record is from RefSeq and is a predicted model, not a curated record. The transcript is spliced from 3 exons.
AGUUUAGCACAAUAUUCUCAUCAUUUGACAGUUUCUCGCGAAUCAUGGCGGAUGAUAUAAAUACGGUGGUCAAAUAUGAUGGUGAAAACGCGUGGUUUAGUGUCGAUUUCCGUGAGAAAAAAGUGUUUUUAGACCUGGAAAAAGCAGCUCGAGAAUAACUCCGGGAAGCUGGAGAUGUUUGAUGAAACUGACGCCGUCAACUAUCUCAGCAUUUGGCAAGAAAUAUAUUUAUUUCAAAGCUGCUCCCUUUGCUAGAUUAACCAAGGCCAUCCCUUGCUCCACAAAGUGGCAGUAAAUUGGAAGUCCACUGUGGAGGUGGCUCCACCAGCUCUUAUGAAAUCGUCAGAUCUUUUCUACAAGUUCAUCGUAAAGAAUGGUCCCCAGAAAUAUAUGAGUUGUUGAAUAACGCUUCUACGUUCAACUGGAAGUAGCCGUGAAACUAAGCGACCAUCUUUGAAGCAAGUAUUCAAAGAUUUCAUAGUAUUUCAGUCGGGAAAUUAAUAAAUAACUACAAAAUUGUCUCCAACCAUACUUAUUUAAGGUGGAACACGAUUAGAUAUAAGACGCUUUUAUGUGCCAGUUGAUGAAUCACUAAUUGUGAUGAAUUGUAAGUACAAUUGCUGAAAAAAUCUAAAUAUAUAUAUUUAAAUGGAUACUAUAGUAUCCAAGUAAAAUGAUAUAAUUUUGAUAAAAAAAAACAUAAUAUUUUUCUGGAAUUUUUUUCAACAUAAUAAAAAUAUUAUUUAAUUCAAGCUCUUAGGCAUAUAAAAGUACAUUUGAACUAUAUUUUCAAACAUUUUCAAUCAAAAAAUUUAAAAAUUCAGCUUUUGGGGCUUUCUGGGGAUUUUUGGAGACCUUUUUAGUAAAAAUAUACUUUUCGGUGGACAAGAUUUCUCGGAAUUGGUUCAUCUGAAAUCCAAAAACUAAAUAUUUUUUGUUAUCUGAUGAGUCAAAUUAGUCCACGAACGAAGGAUUUUUGAAAAUAACUUUUUUGAUUUUAGGGAAAAUUUAGAAUAAGUUCUGAUCAAACAAACAUAAAAUUCUUCGUUCAAGGACUAGUUUAACUCAUUGGUUAACAGGGAAUAUUUGAUUUUUAGAUUUCAAAUCAACGAAUUAUGAGAAAUUUUUUCCACUGAAAAGUAUAUUUUUUCCAAAAAAAUCUCUAAAAAUCAGGUAUUACCAUGGCUAAAUUUUUAAAUUCUUUAAAUAAAAAUUUUAGAAAAUAUAAUUCAAAUAUUGUACUUUUUAUAUGCUUGAGAGCUUCAAUUACAUUUUUUUUUUUAUAAUUCUGAAAAAAAUUAGAGAAAAUAUUUCAUUUUUAAGUCUUCUUGACCCACGUAACUUCUUAAGGUAAAAACAAAGAAAGAAAUAUGUAUGUUGACAAAAUUAAACACAAGAAAUAUUUCUCACUUUGCAUAAUUAACUCUUAUUAUUGUAUAGUUUUCAAAAAAAUAUAUAAUGUGUAUAGAGAAAUUGUUAUAUUUUAGCUAUAUUUAAAUAAAAUAUUUUUAGUAAUGACUGAA